GAUGAACGCUGGCGGCGUGCUUAACACAUGCAAGUCGAACGGUGAAGGCGGAGCUUGCUCUGCUGGAUCAGUGGCGAACGGGUGAGUAACACGUGAGCAAUCUGCCCCUGACUCUGGGAUAAGCGCUGGAAACGGCGUCUAAUACUGGAUACGAGCUGCGAAGGCAUCUUCAGCAGCUGGAAAGAAUUUCGGUCAGGGAUGAGCUCGCGGCCUAUCAGCUUGUUGGUGAGGUAAUGGCUCACCAAGGCGUCGACGGGUAGCCGGCCUGAGAGGGUGACCGGCCACACUGGGACUGAGACACGGCCCAGACUCCUACGGGAGGCAGCAGUGGGGAAUAUUGCACAAUGGGCGUAAGCCUGAUGCAGCAACGCCGCGUGAGGGACGACGGCCUUCGGGUUGUAAACCUCUUUUAGCAGGGAAGAAGCGAAAGUGACGGUACCUGCAGAAAAAGCGCCGGCUAACUACGUG
Molecule: ribosomal RNA, 468 nt
Filed under: uncultured bacterium
Lineage: Bacteria
Description: partial 16S ribosomal RNA
Rfam family: Bacterial small subunit ribosomal RNA
Source: RNAcentral